Long non-coding RNA from Sardina pilchardus (European sardine), 1065 nucleotides. RefSeq lists it as uncharacterized. The record is from RefSeq and is a predicted model, not a curated record. The transcript is spliced from 2 exons. Lineage: Eukaryota; Metazoa; Chordata; Actinopteri; Clupeiformes; Clupeidae.
UGCUACAUGAGUGAUGCCAUAAUUAAAAACCAAAAGAUUCAUUUGUUAUGUUCCUAUUGACAUAAAGAAUUAUUGAGAGUUGUCAUGUAAAACAAAGACAUCUAGGAGUUCUACAACGUUUGACCAGUACAAUUACUAAUACUGUAUUCAUGUGUUUCAUCAGGUCCCUUUACACAGGUGUAUACAUCAAUAUACAAUCAAGCACCAUGCAGUCUGCAUUGAUAAUCAAGGCUUGAUUGUAUACACCUGUGGAAAGGGAUCUGAUGAAAUCCAGGAAUAGUCAGUUUGACUUUAGAGGCCUGUUAGUUGAUCACUACUAGAAUCUUAGCAGAAGUUGGAUAAUGUUCUCUAAUAAGUUGAUGUUCUCCAUAUGUCUUCCUAUCACUGCAAUUACAUUAUUCCAUACUGUCUAGCGGUCAGAAGCCGCAAUUACGAAGUUGUUCAGACCCAGGAUGCACGCUGCUCCACUGCCCUUUCUGCCCAGAGUACAAGGGUGACUAUGCCAGGGUGGAAACGCACAUGCAGAGCCAUUUGAAAACGGUGGUACAUUAUGGAGAAUAUGUGAUCUACAAAUGCAAUUUGGGCUGCAGAAAGGGCAGUCACCACCACUGUGGUUGUAGCCUCACCUUUCCCAGGAAGAGUAGCUUUGAAAUCUACAGGAUUGCACAUUUGUUCUCUGCCAACAAAAGUUGGAAAAAUGCAUGCUUGGUGCUUAAACACAGGCUAUGGGAGGUACUUGGUACAAGAUGUACAAUUUCCAAAGUAGCUCCCAUGGCACACGCACACACCAACACACACACACGCACACACCAACACACACACACAGGCCAAGAUUUUGUUUUACUUUUAUUGAUUUUAUCUUGCAUGGCCUGCAGAAGUUUCUCUUCUGUGUUUGUUCUACAACAAAGUUUUGGCGAAAUCUACAGGAUUGCGCAUUUGCACAUUUGUUCUCUAACAAAAGUUGGGAAAAUGCAUGCUUGGUGCUUAAACUGUUAUGAAACAUGAAAAAAGUUGAUCUCUUCUGGGUUUGUCCUAUAAUAAAGUUUAGGCUACUUUGCAAAUAAA